UAGGGAAUCUUCCACAAUGGACGCAAGUCUGAUGGAGCAACGCCGCGUGAGUGAAGAAGGCUUUCGGGUCGUAAAACUCUGUUGUUGGAGAAGAAUGGUCGGCAGAGUAACUGUUGCCGGCGUGACGGUAUCCAACCAGAAAGCCACGGCUAACUACGUGCCAGCAGCCGCGGUAAUACGUAGGUGGCAAGCGUUAUCCGGAUUUAUUGGGCGUAAAGCGAGCGCAGGCGGUUUUUUAAGUCUGAUGUGAAAGCCCUCGGCUUAACCGAGGAAGCGCAUCGGAAACUGGGAAACUUGAGUGCAGAAGAGGACAGUGGAACUCCAUGUGUAGCGGUGAAAUGCGUAGAUAUAUGGAAGAACACCAGUGGCGAAGGCGGCUGUCUGGUCUGUAACUGACGCUGAGGCUCGAAAGCAUGGGUAGCGAACAGGAUUAGAUACCCUGGUAGUCCAUGCCGUAAACGAUGAAUGCUAGGUGUUGGAGGGUUUCCGCCCUUCAGUGCCGCAGCUAACGCAUUAAGCAUUCCGCCUGGGGAGUACGACCGCAAGGUUG
This 550-nucleotide ribosomal RNA is filed under the name uncultured bacterium. Its description in RNAcentral is "bacterial SSU rRNA". It matches the Rfam family "Bacterial small subunit ribosomal RNA", at positions 355 to 896 of the family's 1533-position model. The record is from RNAcentral.